GUGUUCACUUCGGCAGCACAUAUACACAAAUUGGAACUAUACAGAGAAGGUUAGCAUGGCCCCUGUGCAGGAUGACAUGCAAAUUUGAGAAGCAUUCCACAUUUUU
Molecule: small nuclear RNA, 106 nt
Organism: Pan paniscus (pygmy chimpanzee)
Lineage: Eukaryota; Metazoa; Chordata; Mammalia; Primates; Hominidae
Source: Ensembl